This is a non-coding RNA of Pelobates cultripes (western spadefoot toad), 284 nucleotides long. NCBI's taxonomy places the organism in Eukaryota, Metazoa, Chordata, Amphibia, Anura, Pelobatidae. The record is from the annotation of a GenBank genome assembly.
UAGUGUAGGGUUAAGGGUAGGGUUGGGUUAGGGUUAAGGGUAGGGUUGGGUUAGGAGUAGGGUUUGGGUUAGGGUUGGGUAAGGAGUAGGGUUAGGGUUGGGUUAGGAGUAGCCCUACUCCUAACCUAACCCUACUCCUAACCCUUCCCACUACUCCUAACCUUACCCUAACCCUAACCCUACUCCUAACCUAACCCUACUCCUAACCCAGCCCUAAUCCAAGCCUAACCCUACUCCUAACACUAACCCUACUCCCAACUCUAACCCUACCCCUAACCCUACAC